Molecule: ribosomal RNA, 253 nt
Filed under: uncultured bacterium
Lineage: Bacteria
Description: partial 16S ribosomal RNA
Rfam family: Bacterial small subunit ribosomal RNA
Source: RNAcentral
UACGUAGGGGGCAAGCGUUGUCCGGAUUUAUUGGGCGUAAAGCGCUCGCAGGCGGCCCGAUGCGUCGUGCGUGAAACACCCCGGCUCAACUGGGGAGGGUCGUGCGAUACGGUCGGGCUUGAGGCCAGUAGGGGGAUGCGGAAUUCCGGGUGUAGUGGUGGAAUGCGUAGAUAUCGUCUGGAACGCCAAAGGUGAAAACAGACUGCUGGGAGUGUGCUGACGCUGAGACACGAAAGCCAGGGGAGCAAACGGG